CGUGGCAAGCCCUGAACAGAGAACAUAGCCAGAAGCUGAAGCUAAGAUGCCCCUCCUCUCGGUUUCUCCUCUAACUGCCCUCCUCACGCUGCUCAUGGCAAUUUAACUGUUCCAAGAGACAAGAGAAGCAGCAAAAAAAAAUGCUUUUUCUACACCAGUGGCAUUUCAGAGCUACUUUAGGGAAAAUCCAUCUUCAGUGCUCUCCCAAAAGGACAGCACAGUGAUACAAUUCAUCUACAAACUUUAGUGUAAAAUAUUAUCUGUGUACAAAACUUUGCAUUCUCUUUAUUUGACUUAGAUCCAGCAGCAGUGUCUAUGAAUGAGUUAUGGAUCUCUCCACACUGGCUCUCAGCCCCUUCAUGGAUUUGCAUGUUGUUGCUGUUGUGAAGAUUUGGGAGGGAGGAGGCUUGCUCUUGGGGUCGUGCACAGCUGUGCAAAGCCACACGGCAGGUCUAGAAAGGAGCGUUGUCCUGUGGAGGCUUGUCUCCAGCUGAGGGGGACUGGAGGCCCUCAGUGCUGUUUUCCCUGCUGCCCACCACUCUGGACUUUAUGGUCCCAACUCUAUCUUCAAAUGACUUGAAGGUUGCAGAAUUCCUCAUGUCCCCAAGUUUCCUGCUGAUAACAGAACCUACAUUGGAAAGGGCUGCUGAAGUCUUCUGUCCUGCUUGGGAAAGGGUUUCUUGGGUCUUCUUAUAAAAGUCAGACUGUGUCACUUUGUCAUUCCACUCUCCAAGUUUCUCAGAUGUUCUCACAUAGGCGUUGGAGACUUGUACAUCAUGCCAGCUUUUAGACAGGUUUUGCUUCAACCCAUCCAAGGGAGUCAAACCUAGUUUCCUCUUCAGCUCUCCGCAGUGCCUCUCUUUAGCAGCCAGAACUUGUCUGAGAGUACCAAUUUCUUCUUCAACCUUGGCGAUCUCAGCCCUCAGCUCCUCCUCCUCAGCAGCACUCAGCCCCUCGGGCGUUGCUGUCCUCGCUGCGGCCGCGCUGUCCACGGGAACGUCCAUCAUGGCAUCCGAGAGCAGACCUUUGUUGGGAGAGUUAAGGCUGAUAUCCUGACUCGCGCUCUCCAUGGCGGCGCUCCGGACCCGUUCAGCCGCCGCC
This 1101-nucleotide long non-coding RNA is filed under the name Gallus gallus (chicken). The record is from RNAcentral. Lineage: Eukaryota; Metazoa; Chordata; Aves; Galliformes; Phasianidae.